This 232-nucleotide ribosomal RNA is filed under the name uncultured bacterium. RNAcentral describes it as "partial 16S ribosomal RNA". It matches the Rfam family "Bacterial small subunit ribosomal RNA", at positions 99 to 334 of the family's 1533-position model. The record is from RNAcentral.
CGGACGGGUGAGUAAUGUCUGGGAAACUGCCUGAUGGAGGGGGAUAACUACUGGAAACGGUAGCUAAUACCGCAUAACGUCGCAAGACCAAAGAGGGGGACCUUAGGGCCUCUUGCCAUCGGAUGUGCCCAGAUGGGAUUAGCUUGUUGGUGGGGUAACGGCUCACCAAGGCGACGAGCCCUAGCUGGUCUGAGAGGAUGACCAGCCACACUGGAACUGAGACACGGUCCAG